UGACAUCUUUCAGCACUCUUGUUGGUGGAAAAUGUAUUCUUGUUCAAUUUCAAAUGUGAUGGAAUUGACGAUAGGGUACUUCUGCAUGCAAUUGAGCAAACUUGCAGUGAAAUCCUACAGUUGCAAGCCAUUUAGCAAUUCUAUAAUGGGAAGGGAACUCUGUAUUGCUGAGAUUGAAGUUGAGAAAGAUACGACCUUGGUUGUUGCCACCAGCCAUCUUGAGAGUCCUUGCCCUGGGCCACCCAAGUGGGAUCAAAUGUACAGCAAGGAACGUGUGCAGCAAGCCAAGGAAGCUGUGGAGCUGCUUGACAGAAAACGAAAUGUAGUCUUUUGUGGUGAUAUGAACUGGGAUGACAAAUUGGAUGGUCAAUUUCCUCCAACUGAUGGAUGGAUUGAUGCUUGGGGAAAAAUGAAGCCCGAAGAAAUUGGAUGGACAUACGACACCAAGUCAAACAAAAUGUUAAGCGCCAACAGGACACUACAGAAACGUCUAGACAGGAUUGCCUGCAAACUGCAAGAUUUCUGUAUAACUGAUGUUAAGAUGAUUGGAAA
RNAcentral lists this unclassified non-coding RNA (552 nucleotides) under Hevea brasiliensis (rubber tree). Lineage: Eukaryota; Viridiplantae; Streptophyta; Magnoliopsida; Malpighiales; Euphorbiaceae. The record is from RNAcentral.